This 279-nucleotide unclassified non-coding RNA is filed under the name plant metagenome. RNAcentral's name for it is "partial contains small subunit ribosomal RNA, internal transcribed spacer 1, and 5.8S ribosomal RNA". The record is from RNAcentral.
UUUCCGUAGGUGAACCUGCGGAAGGAUCAUUAUUGUAUAACCGAGGUGCGAGGGCUGUCGCUGACCCGAAAGGUCGUGCACGCCCGAGUGCCCUCACACACAUCCAUCUCACCCCUAUGUGCACCACCGCGUGGGUCCCCCUUUGGCUUGUUCGGAGGGGGGCUUACGCUUUCACACAAACUUUGUAUGCAGUGUAGAAUGUAUUUUUUGUCUUUGCUAUCACGCAUUCAAUACAACUUUCAACAACGGAUCUCUUGGCUCUCGCAUCGUUGAAGAACC